AGGGUGACAGGUGGUGCAUGGUUGUCGUCAGCUCGUGUCGUGAGAUGUUGGGUUAAGUCCCGCAACGAGCGCAACCCUCGACCUUAGUUGCCAGCAUUCAGUUGGGCACUCUAAGGUGACUGCCGGCUAAAAGUCGGAGGAAGGUGGGGGAUGACGUCAAAUCAUCAUGCCCCUUACUGACCUGGGCUACACACGUGCUACAAUGGGCGGUACAAAGGGUCGCGAACCCGCGAGGGGGAGCCAAUCCCAAAAAGCCGCUCUCAGUUCGGAUUGCAGGCUGCAACUCGCCUGCAUGAAGCCGGAAUCGCUAGUAAUCGCGGAUCAGCAUGCCGCGGUGAAUACGUUCCCGGGCCUU
RNAcentral lists this ribosomal RNA (355 nucleotides) under uncultured Anoxybacillus sp. Its description in RNAcentral is "bacterial SSU rRNA". It matches the Rfam family "Bacterial small subunit ribosomal RNA", at positions 1028 to 1382 of the family's 1533-position model. Lineage: Bacteria; Bacillati; Bacillota; Bacilli; Caryophanales; Anoxybacillaceae. The record is from RNAcentral.